RNAcentral lists this long non-coding RNA (289 nucleotides) under Linum usitatissimum (flax). RNAcentral describes it as "long non-coding RNA (LUSI_LNC000848)". Lineage: Eukaryota; Viridiplantae; Streptophyta; Magnoliopsida; Malpighiales; Linaceae. The record is from RNAcentral.
GCUAUCACUCACUGAACUAACAGUUUCAUUAUCCAACUGAGUUGAAAAUGAGGAGGUAGGUGAGUUCCCUAUCUCAAACUUUAAGGAACCCAUUAGUCUUCUAUCAGGCAAAGAGGAAACAGUCGGGUAAGGAGACGAGUAAGACAUGCCCGAACCAGUCACAGUACCGAACCCGAAUAGCUGCUGUGUAUCCAUGUUCUAAAUUUAGAAUCAGCGCUUAGCGAGUAAUUGUUUUCUGAAGUGCUCUACCAAUUCAGCUCGCAAACCAGCCUGCAGGAGCAAACCAAAU